This is a non-coding RNA of Styela clava, 392 nucleotides long. Lineage: Eukaryota; Metazoa; Chordata; Ascidiacea; Stolidobranchia; Styelidae. The record is from RefSeq and is a predicted model, not a curated record.
GGGCCACAGAUAAUCCCCGAACUGUUAGCAGCAAUUGGAAUAACUAUUGUGGAGCAUCCAGAACAUCGGAUGGAAAAUGGUAUAACAGUGACUGCAACGUCGGGUUGCGGUAUGUAUGUCAAUCAGAUUUGACUUGGAUCCUUUAUAACAGUAAUUUGGCUUUAACAAUAAUUAGUAGUCCAAAGAAAUCAGUUUCUGAUGCGAAAUCAUCUUGCACUGCUAUUGGAAAAAGCUUGGUUUCUAUUAGAACUAAUGCAUCAGAUUCACUGUUGACGACAAAACUAUCUCAGAAUGGUACCGUAAAUUACUGGACAAGUGGAAGUGAUUCAGAGACAGAAGGCAAUUGGAAAUGGGGAGAUGGAACAACUAUCAGCAAAACUGAUGCAAAUUGG